Molecule: ribosomal RNA, 485 nt
Filed under: uncultured bacterium
Lineage: Bacteria
Description: bacterial SSU rRNA
Rfam family: Bacterial small subunit ribosomal RNA
Source: RNAcentral
GAUGAACGCUAGCGGCAGGCCUAACACAUGCAAGUCGAGGGGUAACAUAGAGAAGCUUGCUUUUCUGAUGACGACCGGCGCACGGGUGAGUAACGCGUAUGCAACCUGCCUCUUACUAAAGGAUAGCCCUAAGAAAUUGGGAUUAAUACUUUAUAGUAUGUAUCAUUCGCAUGUUUGAUACAUUAAAGGUUACGGUAAGAGAUGGGCAUGCGUCCUAUUAGCUAGAUGGUAAGGUAACGGCUUACCAUGGCAACGAUAGGUAGGGGGCCUGAGAGGGUGAUCCCCACACUGGUACUGAGACACGGACCAGACUCCUACGGGAGGCAGCAGUGAGGAAUAUUGGACAAUGGAGGCAACUCUGAUCCAGCCAUGCCGCGUGCAGGAAGACGGCCCUAUGGGUUGUAAACUGCUUUUAUUUGGGAAUAAACCCCUCUACGUGUAGAGGGCUGAAUGUACCAAACGAAUAAGGACCGGCUAACUCCGUG